RNAcentral lists this ribosomal RNA (515 nucleotides) under uncultured bacterium. RNAcentral's name for it is "bacterial SSU rRNA". It matches the Rfam family "Bacterial small subunit ribosomal RNA", at positions 32 to 524 of the family's 1533-position model. The record is from RNAcentral.
AAUCAACGCUGGCGGCGUGCCUAACACAUGCAAGUCGAACGCGACUGGGGGCUUCGGCUCUCAGUUGAGUGGCGAACGGGUGAGUAACACGUGGGUGACCUACCUUCGAAUGGGGGAUAACGUCCCGAAAGGGACGCUAAUACCGCAUAACAUCCUGCCUUUGAACAGGUGGAGAUCAAAGCUGGGGAUCGUAAGACCUGGCGUUUGGAGAGGGGCCCGCGUCCGAUUAGCUAGUUGGUGAGGUAACGGCCCACCAAGGCAACGAUCGGUAGCCGGCCUGAGAGGGCGGACGGCCACACUGGGACUGAGACACGGCCCAGACUCCUACGGGAGGCAGCAGUGGGGAAUUGUUCGCAAUGGGCGCAAGCCUGACGACGCAACGCCGCGUGGAGGAUGAAGGUCUUCGGAUUGUAAACUCCUGUUGCCCGGGACGAAACACUCCGACCUAACACGUCGAGUCUGACGGUACCGGGUGAGGAAGCCCCGGCUAACUCUGUGCCAGCCGCCGCCGUAAC